Molecule: long non-coding RNA, 622 nt
Organism: Pteropus alecto (black flying fox)
Lineage: Eukaryota; Metazoa; Chordata; Mammalia; Chiroptera; Pteropodidae
Exons: 2
Source: RefSeq, a predicted model, not a curated record
GUGAGGAGGGUCAGUGCGCAGGCAGAAGGGACGGACCAGGAGGGGCCAAAUCCGAUUCCUCCUCUCCUAUCCCGAACCCGCCUUGCCCCGCUCUGACCCAGAGUAGGCUGGGAGCGGGGCUACUCUCUUCCAAGCCUCUCGUCUGGUCUCCCCACCUUCAACUUCGACUUGGCUGUAGCCACUCUUCCUCUACAGAGCAGGAAACGCCUGACAAACUCAACUGAGGGACAUCCUACUCCCUAACUGGUCUGUACUCUGCAAUCAUAUCAAUGUCACGAGAGACGAAGACAGACCAAGGAACUGCCAGAGAAAGGGAGACUAAAAGGACUGAACAAUUGAAUCCAAUGCCUGAUCCGGGAAUUUUGGGGGGUUACAAAAAACAUUAUGGGGACAAUUAGCAAAAUCUAAAUAAGGCAUAUUGAUUAUACAAUGGUAAUGUAACAACGUUAAUUUCCUGAUUUGAUCCUUGUACUGUGAUUGUGUAAGAGAAUGUCCUUGUUUUUAGAAAAACUGCUGAAGUAUUUAGGGGUCAAAGGGUAUCAUGGCUGCAUCUUAUUCUCAAACACUAUGUAUAUAUAUAUAUGAGAGAGAACAAAUGUGAUAAAACAAGGAGUCUGUGUGA